GACGAACGCUGGCGGCGUGCUUAACACAUGCAAGUCGAACGCGCCUGUCCUCUGGGUUUCUGGGGGGUGGGUGAGUGGCGAACGGGUGAGUAACACGUGAGUAACCUGCCCCCUUCUUCGGGAUAACGGUCUGAAAGGGCUGCUAAUACCGGGUAUUCACUGUUCUCCGCAUGGGGUCUGGUGGAAAGGUUUUUUUCUGGUGGGGGAUGGGCUCGCGGCCUAUCAGCUUGUUGGUGGGGUGAUGGCCCACCAAGGCUUUGACGGGUAGCCGGCCUGAGAGGGUGACCGGUCACAUUGGGACUGAGAUACGGCCCAGACUCCUACGGGAGGCAGCAGUGGGGAAUAUUGCACAAUGGGCGCAAGCCUGAUGCAGCGACGCCACGUGAGGGAUGGAGGCCUUCGGGUUGUGAACCUCUUUCGCCCGUGGUCAAGCCGCGACGUGGGUCGUGGUGAGGGUAGUGGGUAAAGAAGCGCCGGCUAACUACGUG
This 488-nucleotide ribosomal RNA is filed under the name uncultured bacterium. RNAcentral describes it as "partial 16S ribosomal RNA". It matches the Rfam family "Bacterial small subunit ribosomal RNA", at positions 28 to 507 of the family's 1533-position model. The record is from RNAcentral.